This 465-nucleotide ribosomal RNA is filed under the name uncultured bacterium. RNAcentral's name for it is "partial 16S ribosomal RNA". It matches the Rfam family "Bacterial small subunit ribosomal RNA", at positions 339 to 795 of the family's 1533-position model. The record is from RNAcentral.
CUACGGGGUGCUGCAGUCGAGAAUCAUUCGCAAUGCGCGAAAGCGUGACGAUGCGACGCUGCGUGGAGGAUGAAGGCCCUCGGGUCGUAAACUCCUGUCAGGAGGGAAAAGCCGGCACUUGGUCAAUACCCUUGUGCCCCGAUGGUACCUCCAGAGGAAGCCACGGCUAACUCUGUGCCAGCAGCCGCGGUAAUACAGAGGUGGCGAGCGUUGUUCGGAUUUACUGGGCGUAAAGGGUGCGUAGGCGGCGUGCAAAGCUGGAUGUGAAAUCCCGGGGCUCAACCCCGGAACUGCGUCCGGAACUGGCAUGCUAGAGACCAGGAGGGGAGAGCAGAAUUCUAGGUGUAGCGGUGAAAUGCGUUGAUAUCUAGAAGAAUACCGGUGGCGAAGGCGGCUCUCUGGAAUGGUUCUGACGCUGAGGCACGAAAGCGUGGGGAGCAAACAGGAUUAGAUACCCGUGUAGUC